UACGGAGGGUGCGAGCGUUGUCCGGAAUCACUGGGCGUAAAGGGCGCGUAGGCGGCGCGAGCAGUCGGCGGUGAAAGCCCGGAGCUCAACUCCGGGUCGGCCGUCGAUACUCUCGUGCUUGAGCACUGUAGAGGCAGGUGGAAUUCCGGGUGUAGCGGUGAAAUGCGCAGAUAUCAGGAGGAACACCGGUGGCGAGGGCGGGUCUCUGGGCCGAUAUUGACGCUGAGGAGCGAAAGCGUGGGGAGCGAACAGG
This 253-nucleotide ribosomal RNA is filed under the name uncultured bacterium. RNAcentral describes it as "partial 16S ribosomal RNA". It matches the Rfam family "Bacterial small subunit ribosomal RNA", at positions 524 to 776 of the family's 1533-position model. The record is from RNAcentral.